RNAcentral lists this ribosomal RNA (947 nucleotides) under Vibrio sp. Its description in RNAcentral is "bacterial SSU rRNA". It matches the Rfam family "Bacterial small subunit ribosomal RNA", at positions 60 to 986 of the family's 1533-position model. Lineage: Bacteria; Pseudomonadati; Pseudomonadota; Gammaproteobacteria; Vibrionales; Vibrionaceae. The record is from RNAcentral.
AGUCGAGCGGAAACGACAACAUUGACCCUUCGGGUGAUUUGUUGGGCGUCGAGCGGCGGACGGGUGAGUAAUGCCUGGGAAAUUGCCCUGAUGUGGGGGAUAACCAUUGGAAACGAUGGCUAAUACCGCAUAACGUCUACGGACCAAAGAGGGGGACCUUCGGGCCUCUCGCUUCAGGAUAUGCCCAGGUGGGAUUAGCUAGUUGGUGAGGUAAUGGCUCACCAAGGCGACGAUCCCUAGCUGGUCUGAGAGGAUGAUCAGCCACACUGGAACUGAGACACGGUCCAGACUCCUACGGGAGGCAGCAGUGGGGAAUAUUGCACAAUGGGCGCAAGCCUGAUGCAGCCAUGCCGCGUGUAUGAAGAAGGCCUUCGGGUUGUAAAGUACUUUCAGUCGUGAGGAAGGCAUUAAAGUUAAUAGCUUUAGUGUUUGACGUUAGCGACAGAAGAAGCACCGGCUAACUCCGUGCCAGCAGCCGCGGUAAUACGGAGGGUGCGAGCGUUAAUCGGAAUUACUGGGCGUAAAGCGCAUGCAGGUGGUUUGUUAAGUCAGAUGUGAAAGCCCGGGGCUCAACCUCGGAACCGCAUUUGAAACUGGCAGGCUAGAGUACUGUAGAGGGGGGUAGAAUUUCAGGUGUAGCGGUGAAAUGCGUAGAGAUCUGAAGGAAUACCAGUGGCGAAGGCGGCCCCCUGGACAGAUACUGACACUCAGAUGCGAAAGCGUGGGGAGCAAACAGGAUUAGAUACCCUGGUAGUCCACGCCGUAAACGAUGUCUACUUGGAGGUUGUGGCCUUGAGCCGUGGCUUUCGGAGCUAACGCGUUAAGUAGACCGCCUGGGGAGUACGGUCGCAAGAUUAAAACUCAAAUGAAUUGACGGGGGCCCGCACAAGCGGUGGAGCAUGUGGUUUAAUUCGAUGCAACGCGAAGAACCUUACCUACUCUUGACA